GACGAACGCUGGCGGCGUGCCUAAUACAUGCAAGUAGAAUGCUGAAGAGAGGAGCUUCCUCUUCUUGGAUGAGUUGCGAACGGGUGAGUAACGCGUAGGUAACCUGCCUUGUAGCGGGGGAUAACUAUUGGAAACGAUAGCUAAUACCGCAUAACAAUGGAUGACACAUGUCAUUUAUUUGAAAGGGGCAAUUGCUCCACUACAAGAUGGACCUGCGUUGUAUUAGCUAGUAGGUGAGGUAAUGGCUCACCUAGGCGACGAUACAUAGCCGACCUGAGAGGGUGAUCGGCCACACUGGGACUGAGACACGGCCCAGACUCCUACGGGAGGCAGCAGUAGGGAAUCUUCGGCAAUGGGGGCAACCCUGACCGAGCAACGCCGCGUGAGUGAAGAAGGUUUUCGGAUCGUAAAGCUCUGUUGUGAGUCAAGAACGGGUGUGAGAGUGGAAAGUUCACACUGUGACGGUAGCUUACCAGAAAGGGACGGCUAACUACGUG
RNAcentral lists this ribosomal RNA (497 nucleotides) under uncultured bacterium. Its description in RNAcentral is "partial 16S ribosomal RNA". It matches the Rfam family "Bacterial small subunit ribosomal RNA", at positions 28 to 507 of the family's 1533-position model. The record is from RNAcentral.